RNAcentral lists this ribosomal RNA (2092 nucleotides) under Glossina pallidipes. RNAcentral describes it as "eukaryotic LSU rRNA". It matches the Rfam family "Eukaryotic large subunit ribosomal RNA", at positions 98 to 1888 of the family's 3401-position model. Lineage: Eukaryota; Metazoa; Arthropoda; Insecta; Diptera; Glossinidae. The record is from RNAcentral.
AAGAAAAUAGUUCAGCACUAAGUCACUUUGUCUUUAAUGGCAAAUGUGAGAUGCAGUGUAUGGAAUGUUCAAUUCUAGUAUGAGAAAUUAGCGAUUUAAGUCCUUCUUAAAUGAGGCCAUUUACCCAAAGAGGGUGCUAGGCCCGUAUAACGUUAAUGAUUACUAGAGAACAAUUCCAAAGAGUCGUGUUGCUUGAUAGUGCAGCACUAAGUGGGUGGUAAACUCCAUCUAAAACUAAAUAUAACCAUGAGACCGAUAGUAAACAAGUACCGUGAGGGAAAGUUGAAAAGAACUCUGAAUAGAGAGUUAAAUAGUACGUGAAACUGCUUAGAGGUUAAGCCCGAUGAACCCGAAUAUCCAUUAUGGAAAAUUCAUCAUUAUGAAUUAUGAUAUUUAAUAAAUAUUAUAUUAAUGGUGUGCAUUUUUUCCAUAUAAGGACAUUGUAAUCUAUUAACAUUAAAAUUUAUCAUAAAAUCAUUGGCUUUAAAGUUUAUUCAAAUUAUUAUGCUUGCAUUUUAACAUAGAAUAAAUGCUUUUGAUUUGAUAAAUUGUUGAUAGAUUUAUAUUUAUAUAGUGCUUAAAUAUAUUUAUAUAUUUUAUAAUAGCAUAUAAAUCAAUAAUUUUUAUGUUUAUUAUAUGCACUUAUAUGAUUUACAAUGCGAAAGAUUCGGGAUACCUUCGGGACCCGUCUUGAAACACGGACCAAGGAGUCUAACAUAUUUGCAAGUUAUUGGGUUCUUUAAAAACCUAAUAGCGAAAUUAACAUGACAAAAUUAAUAUGGGAUUAGUUAUUAGUUCUAGAAUACUUAGACUAUUAAUUCAAUCCCGGGGCGUUCUAUACAGUUAUGUAUAAUAAUAUUUAUAUUAUUUAUACCUCUAACUAGAACGUACCUUGAGCAUAUAUGCUGUAACCCGAAAGAUGGUGAACUAUACUUGAUCAGGUUGAAGUCAGGGGAAACCCUGAUGGAAGACCGAAACAGUUCUGACGUGCAAAUCGAUUGUCAGAAUUGAGUAUAGGGGCGAAAGACCAAUCGAACCAUCUAGUAGCUGGUUCCCUCCGAAGUUUCCCUCAGGAUAGCUGGUGCAUUUAAAAUUUAUGUAAAAUAAUCUUAUCUGGUAAAGCGAAUGAUUAGAGGCCUUAGGGUCGAAACGAUCUUAACCUAUUCUCAAACUUUAAAUGGGUAAGAACCUCACCUUUCUUGGUAUGAAGGUUGUGGUUGUGAUAUAAUGUGCCCAGUGGGCCACUUUUGGUAAGCAGAACUGGCGCUGUGGGAUGAACCAAACGUAAUGUUACGGUGCCCAAAUUAACAACUCAUGCAGAUACCAUGAAAGGCGUUGGUUGCUUAAAACAGCAGGACGGUGGACAUGGAAGUCGCAAUCCGCUAAGGAGUGUGUAACAACUCACCUGCCGAAGCAACUAGCCCUUAAAAUGGAUGGCGCUUAAGUUGUAUACCUAUACAUUACCGCUAAAGUAAAUGGUUGAAAUUCAAUUUAUUUGGAUUUGUAAACUUUAAAACUUUAGUGAGUAGGAGGGUACAAUGGUGAGCGUAGAAGUGUUUGGCGUAAGCCUGCAUGGAGCCGCCAUUGGUACAGAUCUUGGUGGUAGUAGCAAAUAAUCGAAUGAGACCUUGGAGGACUGAAGUGGAGAAGGGUUUCGUGUGAACAGUGGUUGAUCACGAGUUAGUCGGUCCUAAGUUCAAGGCGAAAGCUGAAAAUUUUCAAGUUAUAUAUAUAAAUAAUGUAUAAAACACUUGAAAAUAAUUGAACGAAAGGGAAUACGGUUCCAAUUCCGUAACCUGUUGAGUAUCCGUUUGUUUAUUAAAUGUGGGCCUUGUGCUCAUCCUGGCAACAGGAACGACCAUAAAGAAGCCGUCGAGAGAUAUCGGAAGAGUUUUCUUUUCUGUUUUAUAGUCGUACUACCAUGGAAGUCUUUCGAAGAGAGAUAUGGUAGAUGGGCUAGAAGAGCAUGACAUUUACUGUUGUGUCGAUAUUUUCUCCUCGGACCUUGAAAAUUUAUGGUGGGGUCACGCAAACUUCUCAACAGGCCGUACCAAUAUCCGCAGCUGGUCUCCAAGGUGAAGAGUCUCUAGUC